UGGGGGAUAUUGCACAAUGGGGGAAACCCUGAUGCAGCGACCCCGCGUGGAGGAAGAAGGUUUUCGGAUUGUAAACUCCUGUCGUUAGGGACGAUAAUGACGGUACCUAACAAGAAAGCACCGGCUAACUACGUGCCAGCAGCCGCGGUAAAACGUAGGGUGCAAGCGUUGUCCGGAAUUACUGGGUGUAAAGGGAGCGCAGGCGGACCGGCAAGUUGGAAGUGAAAACCAUGGGCUCAACCCGUGAAUUGCUUUCAAAACUGCUGGCCUUGAGUAGUGCAGAGGUAGGUGGAAUUCCCGGUGUAGCGGUGGAAUGCGUAGAUAUCGGGAGGAACACCAGUGGCGAAGGCGACCUACUGGGCACCAACUGACGCUGAGGCUCGAAAGCAUGGGUAGCAAACAGGAUUAGAUACCCUGGUAGUCCAUGCCGUAAACGAUGAUUACUAGGUGUUGGAGGAUUGACCCCUUCAGUGCCGCAGUUAACACAAUAAGUAAUCCACCUGGGGAGUACGACCGCAAGGUUGAAACUCAAAGGAAUUGACGGGGGCCCGCACAAGCAGUGGAGUAUGUGGUUUAAUUCGAAGCAACGCGAAGAACCUUACCAGGUCUUGACAUCCGAUGCAUAGUGCAGAGAUGCAUGAAGUCCUUCGGGACAUCGAGACAGGUGGUGCAUGGUUGUCGUCAGCUCGUGUCGUGAGAUGUUGGGUUAAGUCCCGCAACGAGCGCAACCCUUAUUGCCAGUUACUACGCAAGAGGACUCUGGCGAGACUGCCGUUGACAAAACGGAGGAAGGUGGGGAUGACGUCAAAUCAUCAUGCCCUUUAUGACCUGGGCUACACACGUACUACAAUGGCGUUUAACAAAGAGAAGCAAGACCGCGAGGUGGAGCAAAACUCAGAAACAACGUCUCAGUUCAGAUUGCAGGCUGCAACUCGCCUGCAUGAAGUCGGAAUUGCUAGUAAUCGCGGAUCAGCAUGCCGCGGUGAAUACGUUCCC
Molecule: ribosomal RNA, 996 nt
Filed under: uncultured bacterium
Lineage: Bacteria
Description: bacterial SSU rRNA
Rfam family: Bacterial small subunit ribosomal RNA
Source: RNAcentral